GCUUGGGUAGCUCAGUUGGUAGAGCAGCGGUUUGAAGAACCGCAAGUCGUCGGUUCGAGCCCGACCCCAAGCACCC
RNAcentral lists this transfer RNA (76 nucleotides) under Parcubacteria group bacterium SW_4_46_8. RNAcentral describes it as "tRNA-Phe". It matches the Rfam family "tRNA". From Rfam's summary of the family: Transfer RNA (tRNA) molecules are approximately 80 nucleotides in length. Their secondary structure includes four short double-helical elements and three loops (D, anti-codon, and T loops). Further hydrogen bonds mediate the characteristic L-shaped molecular structure. tRNAs have two regions of fundamental functional importance: the anti-codon, which is responsible for specific mRNA codon recognition, and the 3' end, to which the tRNAs corresponding amino acid is attached (by aminoacyl-tRNA synthetases). tRNAs cope with the degeneracy of the genetic code in two manners: having more than one tRNA (with a specific anti-codon) for a particular amino acid; and 'wobble' base-pairing, i.e. permitting non-standard base-pairing at the 3rd anti-codon position. The record is from RNAcentral.